UCUUUCGAAAAUUGUUAAAAAAUAAAAAAUUACUUACCGAUAUUUAAUAUUUCAUUAACGUUAGGAGUUUCUUUUUCUUCGAUAUUGCAAUUUCAUUUUAAAUAGGAUUAUGAGAUGACCGAGCUUCGUAAAAUUUGUUUUAUUACCAAGAUGCUUACUGUUAUGCAAGAGAAUUUAUUAGCAUUGGUAGAGUGGCUUGUAUCGGAUGAGCAACAUUACUUCCAUCGUACAAGUACUGCCAUUAAUUACAACUUCGCGUGAACUUUGAACUUUUCACGGACGUUUUUCGUUUCAGAAGUUCCAUCCAACUUCUUUUGAAUCUGUAUUCUACGAUUUUCUACGAUCGCCGGUUGAAGGUGUAGAGCAUAACGAACGAGACUCGCAUGGAUCCGCGAACGACAGGAUGAUAUACGUCCCGAUUCUCCGGUUACGAUAGAUCCGCGGUUGAAAGACGAUUUAUUCCCUCGCGGCGUCUAUUGUCAGUGGAUGUUUGUCAGUGGGCGACCAGAAUUGUUUACCCUAUGACAUACUCGCCGGCCUCUUAGUCAUAACUUACUCGUCAUACGAUAUUCAACGAGGCUACAGCGGCGUAAACGUGACGUACGUUUAAGAUAAAAAGUAUUUUAACAAUGGAACAUGAGCGUAUGCCUCGGUCGUAGAAUUAUCAAUCGUAUUUGUCGAACGUGAGAUGCGCCUCGAAUUUCUUCCUAUAUAUAUGCAAUAUAUAACAGGAAGUCGAAGAUUAAAUGGAAUUCUCAUCCUAUCGUUUUGAUACCACUUAUCGUCUAUUAUAAAUUAGAGAAGAGAGAAGGAGAAAAAAAUAAACGAAGAGAGAAUAAAAAAUAUUGCUUUUACCGAUGCGGUAGAAUAAUUUUAUACUUCCCGAUCCGUUUGGGAUUGCUCUUUGUCGUGUGCAAGGAUAUUCAUCGCCCCUCGUUGCCAUCUGUGUCAACCUCGUUCGAAGAAAGUUCACGAACCGUGUAAUCGAUAUCUGACACAUUUGAUGAAGUGGAUCUGAAAGAAACGACAGGCUUAAACGGUUUCGAGUCGCUUCAACGAUGAAAGCAACACUCAUGGGAAUGAAGAACUCAUCGAAGAACUAUCUCGUGGACUAGAUGCCGUCGGCGAAUCUUGUUACAGCGAAUGCCGCGGGAUAUGCAAUCGAGAGAUAUGCUUCUCUCGAUCCACUUAAAAUUUUUUGGACUCCGUUACUCUGGUUUUCUUGCGCUACUUGCAACUAAAGGAUGCUCGCAUUACAGUACAUUCGUAUCGCGCGUAGGGCACACUUACUUCUAAGAAUUUCCACUCGUUAAAGUAGAUCGUCGUAAUAAGAAACCAGUAACUUCCACUGUGACACAUAUUUUAUCUCAUAAAUAUGUUUAUUUAAUGAUUUUACUCGUAUUUGCGUGUUUAGCGAAAAUUUCUCUACCGUUUUAUUUGUUCACUCUAUCUCUAGAUAGAGUGUUUAUUCGGAUUAUCGUUACAAUUUACUUCUUGACUGACAGGAUAAUUGUCUCGUUCGUGUCAAUUGGAAAAAAAAGCAGUCAAGUAAUUUAUAAAACCUAUCCAAUUUUCAACGAGUGGACAAAUUAUCGAUCGUCGUAAUUAGCAAUCGAUCUUAUUUAACUUAUUAUUCUAAUUUCGAAUUAUCUCGAGGAUCGUGUUUUAUAACAAAUCUUUGAACAAACAGCACGAUGUUAUCGAAUUUAGUAUACAGUUACAGACGAAAACAACACCCAUGGGAAACGAGAGGAACUCGACGAUGACCAUGGGGAAAGAGACCGUUCGAUGUUGGGGUCCCUCUGAAUGCAUGCAGCACGGAACGGUCCCGGAAAUCAGUCCCGUCACGCAGACCGGAAGCUGAACGAUGCCACGACGAUGGAUUGACACUAAAUCCCAUCGCCCAUUCUCUUCUUUUUCUCUCUCAAUUCGAUACAAUUACCCUUUCCGUGUUAACAGGUUACGAGCCAAAAUAAAACCCUCUCGCUGUCUUAUUUAAUUUUUAGAAAAAAAAAAAGAAAAAACAAUUAUUUCCCCGUACGAUAAUUUUACGCAAAAUUUUUCCACGAUGCUUAAUAAUCUUUUAUCUGUCCCAUUCUUUUUCAACAUUCCUCUUCGAAAGGACCUGCAAUUGUCUCGUCAAAAUGAAACUGCGCGUCGAACUGUACAUCGAUACCGGCGCUUUGUCGGCCCGUUUCCGCCACAGUCCCGUAACCUAAAAUUUAAAGAUCCUCGGGGCUAAUAUUUUCAGAUUGUAACACUCGGUUUAAGACGAUAUUCGGUUUCGAUACAGGCGAACAGGUUCGCCUUGCAAGGUGAGAUGCGUGCUUCUCCCGUUCUUUCAUUCUCUUCCACCUUCUCUGUCUGCCGCGUUUUCGUCUCGAAACCCACACGAGCCCUCUUAUAUUCGUGUACUGUCGGCGCGUCGGUGCGCGUACGUGCACACGUAAGGGGCUCGUGCAGGUGCACAGUGGGCGUGCGCCGUGCAGCCUGCGAAAGAAUUGCACACGAAGGAAGAGACUCGGCUGUGGGAAAGUAACGCAACACCAUGAGAGCCUGGACCGCCGCUGCCAAACUCCCAUAGCGGCGUGUAUAGUGGUGCUGGAUGCGCUCGCUGCGUGCACGAGGAUAAAGUGGCUGACCACCGUGGUUCCGAUAUGCUCUCUGCCUUCGCCUUUCCUGUCUGUCAAGCCUGCUUCUACGAAUUGCUGAAAAUAUUUUUAAUCGUUACAGAAUCUCUGUGAUUCUGUAACAAUAAUGGUACGAUUUAAUAUAAUAAAUCUUUCGUAGAAUAUAAUUUUAAAAUAUGAUCGAGUCUUUAAUAUUUGGAAUAAUAUAGGAUUGAAAUGUUCUUUAAUGAGAAAAGUUUCCAAAAAAUUGAGAAACGACAGAUCUUAAACGUUAUCCAAUUUUUCCACGUCGAAAUUAUAUAAUCUGUAAAAAAUCUAUUCCAGGAAUUUUAUUAUCUUACCAAUCCUGUAGUUUUCUUUCAUCAAAAAAGUGCUUUGUGAGGGAGCCACGAUAUUUUUAUCGCUUCGAGUGGUAGGACUUUUCAGAUAUGAAAGAGAUUUUUACGAUUCCGGGGCUGCUUCGACCACAAUCCUCCACAUUGUACGGAAUUUAAGUACUUUCUAGGUUAGUCACGACGCUUUCAUUGGUUAAAAUGUGGAACGUUUGAUGGAAUGGAAGGAGAUCUGAGUUACGGCGCGCCACGGAGGUGCCUCCAUGAUGAACGAGCGAAUCGAAAGUCACACUCGAGUGCUCUUUUUCGCAUGACAUACAUGUUUCAGACUUAUCUGCCGAUUGCAGCUGCGACGAGUACGAUCUAGUUGCCGAGGCUAAUUGAAUUUUCUCCUUGAGAUCGUCGUGGAACGAAGCCAGACCGCCGAGGGAAAUGCUUCUCACAGGAGGCUCGUUGUUCGCGACAAAAGGGAAGAGUGUUGCACCAAGGAAUCGCGAUAUCACGCGUCUCUGAAACGACACCGACGUUGCACCGUGUUUAUUUCUUCUUACUUAAGGGUCGGAGAGCCCCUUAUAAAAUCCAUCUGAUCGUGCCGACAUUGGAAUCGGAAUGCUGUGUACAACAGCACUUUGGUCUCGAAUAAUAAAGAACGACAAUAAAUAUAUAGAUAAGAAUAAAGGGAAAGCUUCUAUCGAAAAAAUUUGAUGCAAGGAGAAUAUAAUUUUUAAAUUUGGCGAGUGAGAAGUAUCAUUUUCAAAAUUUCUGAUCGAUGUACUUCCAACAAUAGUACCUGUAUUGUGUGUACGAGCAUCGAAUUACUAGGCCACCCUACAGAAAUUCCCUAAGGAUAUUCUGCUCAGAUAAUCGCUCAAGGAAUUCAUAAGAUCUUGGAGAAGAAUAUUCAUAUUACGUGGCGAGAGAAAUCAGUAAAAAUGAUUAUGACCGACAAGAAGGAAAUAGAAUUGGCCGCUUCUCUUCCGGAAUGAAAGGAAAAAUAUAACUUUCGUUCGUAUCUCAUCUUCGAUGGAAACACAUUUGUCCGUUCUAGAUUGUAUCUGGAGCACUAGAAAAGGAAAUUUUUUUUUUUUUUUUAUGGGAAAUAAUCUUUAAUUCUUCCGCGAGUACGAACAUUUUUAUAUAACGAAUUAUGAAUAUUAAAUUUAUACCUUUACUCCUACGCGAGUUUAUCGUUUCUCUUCGAAGGAAAUCAACGUGAAAUCUUUUUUUCCUCCUUUCGUACGUAUGUAAAAAUCGCCGCCCAUACGUCCGUGUGAUUUCGUGUGAUUACGUAGGAAGCAAUCCUUGUUCUUUUGUAAUUUUAUUUCCGAUUUGUCAAUACAGGCAUAUAAAUAAAAUAUCGAAUCUUCUUUAAGUCCAAAGACGAAACUUGCGUAAAAGAUAACUCGUCAUGGGUGAUUUAACUAUCGCGUAGGAGUUUAUCAGAAACUAGACUGUUGUAAUGUUUUUUAUUUCCUAUUAGAAAAAAAAUUGUCUUAGAAGAAAAAAAAUUCACAUUCUCAGUGAGAAAUAUUUUAGAAUAUCGAAACAGAUUUUUCAAACGUUUAAAAUUAUUUAUUUCGAAAAAUUCGCAUACGAUUCGCAUCCUUUUCGAAGAAAUUCACUCAUAAGUUUUUGUUAGUUGCUAUUUACAUAGAUUUAUAGAGAGCUUGACAAGUUUUCUGCUAAACGAAAGGAGUAGAAAUAACUAAACAUGGCAGCUAUUAGCGGCUUGACUGCAUUUUUUUAAGAAUCUCGAAAGUUGCGCGUGACAUCCAUUAGUAGGUAGAACUCGUUGUUCCAAAGACGUUUGUAAUUUACACGCUUAGGAAGCUACACGAGACGUUUACAGAAUUUCAAUCGUCAUUUAAGGCGUCACCUGUCACAGGUGAAUUACUUCUCACCCCCUGGAUCGCCUUAUAACACUAAAAAAAAAAUACCAAUGAACACUUGUACCCACGUACUAAAAACUUAUGUAAAAUAUCAAAUCUAACUAUCUUAUAUCUUUCCCCCUUUUUAUACGACGUCGUUAAGUUCGUCGAUAUUCAAAUUUGAUCACGUAUCUUCUCGCUUACGAUAAACAUUCUUGUCAAACCAAAAAAAGAAACCAGAAAUAACUUGUA
Molecule: RNA transcript, 5082 nt
Organism: Apis cerana (Asiatic honeybee)
Lineage: Eukaryota; Metazoa; Arthropoda; Insecta; Hymenoptera; Apidae
Source: RefSeq, a predicted model, not a curated record